UCCUUGGUGGUCCAGUGGUUAAGACUCUUGAGCUCCUGAUGCAGGGGCCCCAGGUUCAAUCCCUGGUCAGGGAA
Dama dama (fallow deer) is the source of this 74-nucleotide non-coding RNA. NCBI's taxonomy places the organism in Eukaryota, Metazoa, Chordata, Mammalia, Artiodactyla, Cervidae. The record is from the annotation of a RefSeq genome assembly.